Molecule: ribosomal RNA, 1440 nt
Filed under: uncultured organism
Description: SSU rRNA
Rfam family: Bacterial small subunit ribosomal RNA
Source: RNAcentral
UGGAUGAACGCUAGCUACAGGCUUAACACAUGCAAGUCGAGGGGCAGCAUCAUCAAAGCUUGCUUUGAUGGAUGGCGACCGGCGCACGGGUGAGUAACACGUAUCCAACCUGCCGACAACACUGGGAUAGCCUUUCGAAAGAAAGAUUAAUACCGGAUGGCAUAGUUUUUCCGCAUGGGAUAAUUAUUAAAGAAUUUCGGUUGUCGAUGGGGAUGCGUUCCAUUAGGCAGUUGGCGGGGUAACGGCCCACCAAACCAACGAUGGAUAGGGGUUCUGAGAGGAAGGUCCCCCACAUUGGAACUGAGACACGGUCCAAACUCCUACGGGAGGCAGCAGUGAGGAAUAUUGGUCAAUGGACGAGAGUCUGAACCAGCCAAGUAGCGUGAAGGAUGACUGCCCUAUGGGUUGUAAACUUCUUUUAUACGGGAAUAAAGUGAGCCACGUGUGGCUUUUUGUAUGUACCGUAUGAAUAAGGAUCGGCUAACUCCGUGCCAGCAGCCGCGGUAAUACGGAGGAUCCGAGCGUUAUCCGGAUUUAUUGGGUUUAAAGGGAGCGUAGGCGGGUUGUUAAGUCAGUUGUGAAAGUUUGCGGCUCAACCGUAAAAUUGCAGUUGAUACUGGCGACCUUGAGUGCAACAGAGGUAGGCGGAAUUCGUGGUGUAGCGGUGAAAUGCUUAGAUAUCACGAAGAACUCCGAUUGCGAAGGCAGCUUACUGGAUUGUAACUGACGCUGAUGCUCGAAAGUGUGGGUAUCAAACAGGAUUAGAUACCCUGGUAGUCCACACAGUAAACGAUGAAUACUCGCUGUUGGCGAUAUACGGUCAGCGGCCAAGCGAAAGCAUUAAGUAUUCCACCUGGGGAGUACGCCGGCAACGGUGAAACUCAAAGGAAUUGACGGGGGCCCGCACAAGCGGAGGAACAUGUGGUUUAAUUCGAUGAUACGCGAGGAACCUUACCCGGGUUUAAAUUGCAACUGACGGAAUCGGAAACGGUUCUUUCUUCGGACAGUUGUGAAGGUGCUGCAUGGUUGUCGUCAGCUCGUGCCGUGAGGUGUCGGCUUAAGUGCCAUAACGAGCGCAACCCUUACGGGUAGUUACCAUCAGGUUAUGCUGGGGACUCUACCCGGACUGCCGUCGUAAGAUGUGAGGAAGGUGGGGAUGACGUCAAAUCAGCACGGCCCUUACGUCCGGGGCUACACACGUGUUACAAUGGGGGGUACAGAAGGCAGCUACACGGCGACGUGGUGCUAAUCCCAAAAGCCUCUCUCAGUUCGGAUUGGAGUCUGCAACCCGACUCCAUGAAGCUGGAUUCGCUAGUAAUCGCGCAUCAGCCACGGCGCGGUGAAUACGUUCCCGGGCCUUGUACACACCGCCCGUCAAGCCAUGAAAGCCGGGGGUACCUGAAGUACGUAACCGCGAGGAGCGUCCUAGGGUAAAACUGG